RNAcentral lists this small RNA (327 nucleotides) under Pongo abelii (Sumatran orangutan). RNAcentral describes it as "retained intron". Lineage: Eukaryota; Metazoa; Chordata; Mammalia; Primates; Hominidae. The record is from RNAcentral.
GUGUAUGGUGGCUGAUGAAAUGGGUCUAGGAAAGACAAUCCAGGCAAUUGGAAUUGCUUACUUCUAUAAAGAGGAAUGGCCUCUGUUAAUAGUGGUCCCUUCGUCUCUGAGGUACCCUUGGACAGAAGAAAUCGAAAAAUGGAUCCCAGAGCUAAGUCCAGAAGAAAUCAGUGUUAUUCAGAAUAAAACUGAUGUUAGGUAAGAACAACUGUUUAAUAUUUAAGGAGAAAAGUCUUCCUUGUGUGUACCUGGUAUAUGUUCAUGUUUUAGAAUGCAAUAUCACCUAUAGAUCAUAAUUUAGAAGUGGAGUAAGUAGUAUGGAGAAUU